This 497-nucleotide ribosomal RNA is filed under the name uncultured bacterium. RNAcentral's name for it is "partial 16S ribosomal RNA". It matches the Rfam family "Bacterial small subunit ribosomal RNA", at positions 28 to 507 of the family's 1533-position model. The record is from RNAcentral.
GAUGAACGCUGGCGGCGUGCCUAAUACAUGCAAGUCGAGCGAACAGACGAUGAGCUUGCUCCGCUGACGUUAGCGGCGGACGGGUGAGUAACACGUGGAUAACCUCCCUAUAAGACUGGGAUAACUUCGGGAAACCGGAUCUAAUACCGUAUAAUAUAUUGCACCGCAUGGGUCAUUAGUGAAAUACGGUGUUUCGGUCACUUAUAGAGGGAUCCGCGCCGUAUUAGAUAGUUGUUAAGUUAACGGCUUACCAAGGCAACGCGGCGUAGGCGACCUGAGAGAGUGAUCGGCCACAUUGGAACUGAGACACGGACCCGGCUCCUACGGGAGGCCGCAGUAGGGAAUCUGACGCAAUGGGCGAAAGCCUGACGGAGCAACGCCGCGUGAGUGAUGAAGGUCUUCGGAUCGUAAAACUCUGUUAUUAGUGAAGAACAAAUGUGUAAGUAACUAUGCACGUCUUGACGGUAACUAAUCAGAAAGCCACGGCUAACUACGUG